This 2594-nucleotide unclassified non-coding RNA is filed under the name Hevea brasiliensis (rubber tree). The record is from RNAcentral. Lineage: Eukaryota; Viridiplantae; Streptophyta; Magnoliopsida; Malpighiales; Euphorbiaceae.
AGAGAGAGAGAGAGAGAGAGGAUGGGACUUGAGGGUCCUGCAAUUGCAAUUCAAGAAAUAAAAAAUGAGACUUGUUUUAGGUGUUUUGUUGUUUAAAUGGGAAAGCAGCAGCCAACUAUAAUCCUCGAAAUCAUCUAAAAUUAAAGGCAUUAGAAAGUGAAAAAGCUGAUGGAAAAGUGAUUACAAUCUUUUGUCUCUUGGAGACAAGGAUGGGCACCCAUCAAUCUUGAACUGGAAAAGAAAGCAUUCAUGAAAAAGCUUCACAUAAUUUUUCAGUUUUCUUACUAUUAAAGGAAGUAGAAAUUCGGAUAACCUGAUAAAAUUACUACUACCCCAUUUGGUUUUCCAAUUUCAAAAAGAUGGAUCCAUGCUGAUAUAGCCAGUGGAAAAAAAAAAAUGAUUCCCAGGGAUCAAUGACACUUUUUUUUUUUUCUUUUCCGGGAUUUUUCCAGAUAGAAUUGCAACACUGUAAUGCAUAUGCAACGAGGCAAAGAGGAGAACUGCACUGGUAUACAAGCCUUAUUCUGCAAUUCUACCUUCCCACACCCAACAAGUAAAAGAAAGCUAAUUAAUAAGAAAAGAUUGUUUUUGGCUCACAAAUAUUUCAAAACCAGAGGGUAAUAAAUGUUUUUGUAUCAGACCUAUUUACAAGAGAAAAAUCUGGGGCACACACCUGUAAAAUAAAGAGCGAGCUCUAGCAAGCAUCCGUACGUUGGAGCCUCUUCAGUUUCCUCCUCUAACACCGGUGGCUUCACUCGCAUGCCAAUCAAAGCUAAAUAUGUCCAUAGGCUGCUGUAAGUCUUUGGAUAUCUUUAGGGCAUAUAUCAGAAUUUUGGAAAGGUUCUAGUUGCUGCUGGUUUUGAGGCCACACAGACCUUGAAUUUUGGGAUAGGAGAUGCGUUUCUGAUUUUAUCUCAUUGUAUAAAGAUUGUGGACUUUGAUUUUGUGAAGCUGCAGCCAUUAUCAAUGGAUUAUGAAGAUAUUCUGGCCAUUUCACGUCCACUUGUUGGCUUCCUAUCAGCUGGCUUUGACCAUCUUUCUCCGUUGAGCUACAGUCCCCCAAUCCCCAAGAAAAGAUGGUGCUCUCAAAGAAAGAGCUGUUGCUUUGCAGUUCGGCGUUGCCGCUGCUUCCAGUGCUGCUGUUACUAUUGUUGCUCGGGGCACCGGCUUCCCAAAACCGUGAACUGCUGAUUGGGAAAGACGCCAAUGAAGGGUCGUCGGAGGGAACAGUAACGGAGGGCUUGAAAGCCAUCGAUGUAGAAAGAAAUGAACUUGUUGUAGGUGGAAGGAUGGUGGGUAUUGAACUGGAAGAGAAUUCGGAGUUAACAUCCAAAGAUUUGCUGGUUUGUGUAAACCAGGGGGAGGGGAUUGAGUUGGUUGUGAGCCUGGCAUUAGACGCAUAAUUCAAUUGCUGAAGAGGGAAAUGCCCCACCAAAUCCGAAGGUUGGCAGUUGCUUGUGGAUCCUUCAUGGCGGGAGGUUGCGAACCUUUCCAAGAAAAAGUCCUUGUUGCUUAUGGGUGUCAUCAAAUUACUGUUGUUACCAUGGUUGUUGGGGUUGCUGCUCAUAUUUUUGGAGUUGGAAGAACCUUCCCCCUCUAAUUGGUAGGCUUGCGCAGAAACAGGCGAUUGUUUCUUUUCUUGUAAAUUUGGCCCUGGCUUAGAAUUACUGGCUUCGAGGAGGUUCAAUUCACUGGAUACUCCAGAGCCCUUUUCUUGGCCCUUGUUGGCAGUUGGAUUCCUGUCUUGUCCAUUGUUUUCAACCUCGGAAAGUGGUUUGUGGGUAACAGGGUCAAUGCCCCUCUGCCUAAGUUUCUUCUUUAAGCAGGAGUUCCAGAGAUUUUUUAUUUCAUUGUCGGUCCUUCCGGGCAACUGUGCUGCAAUCUGAGACCACCUGAAAAAUAAGCAUCCACAAAAACCCAAAAGCGUUAACUACUUUUCAUGAACAAAAAAGAGCUAUGGAUGAAUAUAUAUACCUGUUGCCCAGAACUGCAUGAAGUUCAAUUAUGAGGUUCUCUUCCUGUUGGGAGAAUGUGCCUCUCUUCAAAUCAGGCCUCAAGUAAUUAAUCCACCUCAAUCUGCAGCUCUUUCCGCACCUCUGCAAACCUGCAAAUUCACCAAAAAUGGAAAUCAGUGAGUUGCAGUAGUAGUAGUAGUAGUAGUUUUGUUUUGGAAACAGAGGAAAUUGAUGAGGUUAGUUUGAGAUACCAGCUUGCUUGGGGACAGAGCUCCAACAACCGUGGCCAUACUUGGUAAUAUGCCUGAGAAGUUUCUCGUCUUCCUCAGGUGACCAGAGGCCUUUCCUUAGCUUCUGCUUGUAGCAGCAAGAGUGCCUACCCAUUUGGAGUAAGACACACCAGCAAUGAGGGGAAAGAUGAGAUAUCUUUCCUAAAAACUGCCAAGUUUGUUGAAUCCUAGGUGAAGUGUCAGCUAGGAAACGGAUUUGUAGGAAGGUGCUUUGGCAGAAAUGUAGUUAGCGCGCACGCACAGAGUUGAAAAGGAGGCCAAGAAAAUGAAGUAGCAGCAGAGAAAUUGAGUUGAAUUAAUAUAAGGUAGCCUUCAAGAGAAAGGAGUCACCGUCAAUAAUGUCUUAAAC